This 72-nucleotide transfer RNA is filed under the name Plasmodium relictum. It matches the Rfam family "tRNA". Rfam says of the family: Transfer RNA (tRNA) molecules are approximately 80 nucleotides in length. Their secondary structure includes four short double-helical elements and three loops (D, anti-codon, and T loops). RNAcentral also lists the same sequence under 1 other name. Lineage: Eukaryota; Apicomplexa; Aconoidasida; Haemosporida; Plasmodiidae. The record is from Rfam by way of RNAcentral.
AUAAAUAUAACCUAAUGGUUAAGGUAAAGAAUUGUGAUUUCUUUAAUAUGAGUUCAAAUCUCAUUAUUUAUC